UACGUAGGGGGCAAGCGUUGUCCGGAAUCAUUGGGCGUAAAGAGCGUGUAGGCGGCCAGAUAAGUCCGCUGUGAAAUCUCGAGGCUCAACUUCGAGCUGUCGGUGGAAACUGUCUGGCUAGGGUCCGGAAGAGGAGAAUGGAAUUCCUGGUGUAGCGGUGAAAUGCGCAGAUAUCAGGAAGAACACCCGUGGCGAAGGCGGUUCUCUGGGACGGUACUGACGCUGAGACGCGAAAGCGUGGGGAGCGAACAGG
RNAcentral lists this ribosomal RNA (253 nucleotides) under uncultured bacterium. RNAcentral's name for it is "partial 16S ribosomal RNA". It matches the Rfam family "Bacterial small subunit ribosomal RNA", at positions 524 to 776 of the family's 1533-position model. The record is from RNAcentral.